This 323-nucleotide small nuclear RNA is filed under the name Microtus ochrogaster (prairie vole). RNAcentral's name for it is "7SK RNA (ENSMOCG00000009411.1)". It matches the Rfam family "7SK RNA". From Rfam's summary of the family: 7SK was discovered as an abundant small nuclear RNA in the mid-70s but a possible function has only recently been suggested. The record is from RNAcentral. Lineage: Eukaryota; Metazoa; Chordata; Mammalia; Rodentia; Cricetidae.
GGGUGUGAGAGCGGUCUGGCUGCGACAUCUGUCACCCCAUUGAUCGCCAAGGUCGAUGUGGCUGAUCUGGCUGGCUAGGCGGGUGUCUCCUUGCUCCCUCACUGCUCCAUGUGUGUCCCUCCUGAAGCUGCAUCCCUCAUCCUGGGUCAAAGAGGACGACCUUCCCCAAAUAGAGGAGGACCAAUCUUCCACCAAGGGUAUAGGAGUAGCUGCACUCCCCUGCUAGAACCUCCAAGCAAGCUCUGAAAGGGAAGGAUGGAGACCCUGUGGGAGGAACAGGCUCUCAGCUAAUAAAGGAGAGUUUAACCAUCUCCUUCCCUACU